CACAGAUUGAUGAACAUUGAAAUUAAUUAGAAGUGAUAUUUCAAUAUCACUAUUCACCACUUCUCUAUAAUAGAAGUGUCAACCAAAUUCAUGAUCGACAAUGACAGAUGGAAACACACACAUGCGAUUGG
This is a long non-coding RNA of Myotis brandtii (Brandt's bat), 131 nucleotides long. RefSeq lists it as uncharacterized. The record is from RefSeq and is a predicted model, not a curated record. NCBI's taxonomy places the organism in Eukaryota, Metazoa, Chordata, Mammalia, Chiroptera, Vespertilionidae. The transcript is spliced from 3 exons.